UAGGGAAUCUUCGGCAAUGGACGAAAGUCUGACCGAGCAACGCCGCGUGAGUGAAGAAGGUUUUCGGAUCGUAAAACUCUGUUGUUAGAGAAGAACAAGGACGUUAGUAACUGAACGUCCCCUGACGGUAUCUAACCAGAAAGCCACGGCUAACUACGUGCCAGCAGCCGCGGUAAUACGUAGGUGGCAAGCGUUGUCCGGAUUUAUUGGGCGUAAAGCGAGCGCAGGCGGUUUCUUAAGUCUGAUGUGAAAGCCCCCGGCUCAACCGGGGAGGGUCAUUGGAAACUGGGAGACUUAAGUGCAGAAGAGGAGAGUGGAAUUCCAUGUGUAGCGGUGAAAUGCGUAGAUAUAUGGAGGAACACCAGUGGCGAAGGCGGCUCUCUGGUCUGUAACUGACGCUGAGGCUCGAAAGCGUGGGGAGCAAACAGG
RNAcentral lists this ribosomal RNA (429 nucleotides) under Chloroflexota bacterium. Its description in RNAcentral is "Chloroflexi bacterium partial 16S ribosomal RNA". It matches the Rfam family "Bacterial small subunit ribosomal RNA", at positions 355 to 776 of the family's 1533-position model. Lineage: Bacteria; Bacillati; Chloroflexota. RNAcentral also lists the same sequence under 1 other name. The record is from RNAcentral.